AGAGUUUGAUCAUGGCUCAGAUUGAACGCUGGCGGCAGGCUUAAUACAUGCAAGUCGAACGGUAACGGCAGGAAGCUUGCUUCCUGGCUGACGAGUGGCGGACGGGUGAGUAAUACCUGGGGAGCUGCCUGAAUGAGGGGGACAACACCUGGAAACGGGUGCUAAUACCGCGUAAGCCCUGAGGGGGAAAGGCCGGGCAACCGGUCGCAUUCAGAUGCGCCCAGGUGGGAUUAGCUAGUUGGUGGGGUAACGGCCUACCAAGGCGACGAUCUCUAGCUGGUCUGAGAGGAUGACCAGCCCCACUGGGACUGAGAUACUGCCCAGACUCCUACGGGAGGCUGCAGUCGAGGAUCAUUUGCAAUGGGCGAAAGCCUGACAAUGCGACGCUGCGUGGAGGAUGAAGGCCUUCGGGUUGUAAACUCCUGUCAUGGGGGAACAGGCGAGGGGAGUCAAUACCUCCCUUAGUUGAGUGUACCCCAAGAGGAAUUGGCGGCUAACUCUGUGCCAGCAGCCGCGGUAAUACAGAGGCCAAGAGCGUUGUUCGGAUUUACUGGGCGUAAAGGGCGCGUAGGCGGCAUGGCGUGUCGGAUGUGAAAUCUCCGGGCUCAACCCGGAAAGUGCGUCCGAAACUACCGUGCUGGAGUAUGGGAGGGGGAAUCGGAAUGCAGGGUGUAGCGGUGAAAUGCGUUGAUAUCCUGCAGAACACCGGAGGCGAAGGCGGAUUCCUUGAACAUCACUGACGCUGAGGCGCGAAAGUCGGGGGAGCAAACAGGAUUAGAUACCCUGGUAGUCCCGACCCUAAACGGUGCACGCUAGGGGUGGGCCCAUUUCACCGGGCCCGUCUCUGAGCUAACGCGUUAAGCGUGCCGCCUGGGGAGUACGGCCGCAAGGCUAAAACUCAAAGAAAUUGACGGGGGCCCGCACAAGCAGAGGAGCAUGUGGCUUAAUUCGAUGCAACGCGAAGAACCUUACCUGGGCUUGACAUGCAGGUGCACGGGCUAUGAAAGUAGCCCUCCUUCGAGGGUCCUGCACAGGUGCUGCAUGGCUGUCGUCAGUUCGUGCCGUGAGGUGUUUGGUUAAGUCCACCAACGAACGCAACCCCUUUGACGUGUUGCCAGCGGGUAAUGCCGGGAACUCGCGUCAGACUGCCUGUUCACACAGGAGGAAGGUGGGGAUGACGUCAAGUCAGUAUGGCCCUUACGCCCAGGGCUGCACACGUGCUACAAUGGCCGGUACAGAGGGAAGCGAGACCGCAAGGUGGAGCCAACCCCACAGAGCCGGCCCCAGUUCAGAUCGGGGUCUGCAACCCGACCCCGUGAAGUCGGAUUUGCUAGUAACGGCGUAUCAGCUACGACGCCGUGAAUGCGUUCCCGGGCCUUGUACACACCGCCCGUCACAUCAUGAAAGCCGUCUGCACCCGAAGUCCGGCAUCUGUCGGCCUAAGGUGUGGGUGGUGAUUGGGAUGAAGUCGUAACAAGGUAACC
This 1484-nucleotide ribosomal RNA is filed under the name uncultured rumen bacterium. Its description in RNAcentral is "bacterial SSU rRNA". It matches the Rfam family "Bacterial small subunit ribosomal RNA". The record is from RNAcentral.